UAGGGAAUAUUGGACAAUGGGGGCAACCCUGAUCCAGCCAUGCCGCGUGAGUGAAGAAGGCCCUCGGGUUGUAAAGCUCUUUUGUCCGGAAAGAAAAGCAUUCGGUGAAUACCCGGAUGUUCUGACGGUACCGGAAGAACAAGCACCGGCUAACUUCGUGCCAGCAGCCGCGGUAAUACGAAGGGUGCAAGCGUUACUCGGAAUUACUGGGCGUAAAGCGUGCGUAGGUGGUUGUUUAAGUCUGAUGUGAAAGCCCUGGGCUCAACCUGGGAAUGGCAUUGGAAACUGGGCAGCUAGAGUGCGGUAGAGGGUAGUGGAAUUCCCGGUGUAGCAGUGAAAUGCGUAGAGAUCGGGAGGAACAUCUGUGGCGAAGGCGACUGCCUGGACCAGCACUGACACUGAGGCACGAAAGCGUGGGGAGCAAACA
This 427-nucleotide ribosomal RNA is filed under the name uncultured bacterium. RNAcentral's name for it is "bacterial SSU rRNA". It matches the Rfam family "Bacterial small subunit ribosomal RNA", at positions 355 to 774 of the family's 1533-position model. The record is from RNAcentral.